GAUGAACGCUGGCGGCGUGCCUAAUACAUGCAAGUCGAGCGAACAGAUGAGGAGCUUGCUCCUCUGACGUUAGCGGCGGACGGGUGAGUAACACGUGGAUAACCUACCUAUAAGACUGGGAUAACUUCGGGAAACCGGAGCUAAUACCGGAUAAUAUAUUGAACCGCAUGGUUCAAUAGUGAAAGACGGUUUUGCUGUCACUUAUAGAUGGAUCCGCGCCGCAUUAGCUAGUUGGUAAGGUAACGGCUUACCAAGGCAACGAUGCGUAGCCGACCUGAGAGGGUGAUCGGCCACACUGGAACUGGAACACGGUCCCGCCCCCUAGGGGAGGCAGCAGUAGGGAAUCUGCCGCAAUGGGGGAAAGCCUGACGGAGCAACGCCGGGGGGGUGAUGAAGGGUUUCGGAUCGUAAAACUUUUUUUUUGGGGAAAAAAAAAUGUGUAAGUAACUAUGCCCGUCUUGACGGUACCUAAACAGAAAGCCACGGCUAACUACGU
This 496-nucleotide ribosomal RNA is filed under the name uncultured bacterium. Its description in RNAcentral is "partial 16S ribosomal RNA". It matches the Rfam family "Bacterial small subunit ribosomal RNA", at positions 28 to 506 of the family's 1533-position model. The record is from RNAcentral.